This 77-nucleotide microRNA precursor is filed under the name Schistosoma margrebowiei. RNAcentral describes it as "mir-3492 microRNA precursor family". It matches the Rfam family "mir-3492 microRNA precursor family". The record is from Rfam by way of RNAcentral. Lineage: Eukaryota; Metazoa; Platyhelminthes; Trematoda; Strigeidida; Schistosomatidae.
GGCUUUUUGGAUCCGUGUUGAGAUUUCGUCAGACACUAUACGUCAGGAAUGAUGAGAAUCUCAGGAUAAGUGAAGCA